AUGCCUACCAUUGCUGGGCCGGCCCAUAGCGACGGGCGCGAGGGCCAGCGCGGUUGGGUAGUCGUCUUCGGCCCGGGCUGUGUCCGGACUGCCCGUCCGUGUAUAAGGCCGAGCCGCACCGGUGGUCUUCUCGAUCGAUCCAACUGGAAGCAAAACGAUUCCGCCGUUCUCCGUCGGCGCCAGGGCCUUCUCAAUGGGAAUCUACGCCGCCGUGCGCAGCACGAAGCAGCGGCUGAGGGAACUCUUCUGUACUCCUCCUGCAAGUACGCCCUCUCUUCUUACGUAAACUACCGACGCGCCCGCCGGUUUCCGUGCCCCGGCCGUUAUAGUCGAUCAAGGUCUUCAGAAGAUGCGUUUGAGAAACUCCCCGUGGUAUGCUUCUCUUCCCUGGUAGUCAAGAGAAUUGCAGUUACAAAUGUUGUAAUUAACAAGCCAGAUGACAUCAUGCACCAUAUAUAUUCUCUCUUGCCACUGCAAGAUGCUGCUCGUGCCGCCUGCGUCUCCCAUGGAUUUCUGCUUUUCUGGAGAUGCUAUUCCAACCUUACAUUCAACGUGUCAACACUUGGGUUGGCUCACAAGAAAUCCGAGGAUUGGGAAAUCUUUCUCAUCGACAGAGUUGACAGCAUUCUUAAGAACCAUUCUGGCAAUGGGGUGGAGACACUCAAUCUCUGCCUCCUAUCUUGCAAAAAUAUUGACCCUUCAUACCUGGACAGAUGGUUGCAGACUGCUGUUCGUUCGGGGAUCAAAGAACUUAAAUUGGAGAUGUCUUACUUCAUGAAGAAAAAGUACAGCUUCCCAUGUUCGGUUUUGUCUGAUGAUGCAGCUGCAAGUUCAAUUCGGUCUCUCUACCUCAGGGGUUGCGUUUUUCGUCCCACAACAACACUUGGCUGCUUGAGAAGACUGAACGCAUUAUCUCUGUUUUUUGUCCACAUUACUGAUGAGGGAUUAGGGCACUUGUUCUCGAAAUCUUUCGCCUUGCAGCAGUUAUAUAUCUUUCGAUGCAAUGCGAUAAUAUGCUUGAAGAUACCUUCCAUGCUGCAGCAACUCAAGCUCCUCACUAUUAAAUUGUGUGAGAAGCUCCAGGUGGUACAGAUCAAUGCUCCAAGGCUCUCCUCUUUUCACUUUGAUGGAGCCCUAGUAAAAAUCUCGGUUGUGGAUCCUUCACCGCUUAGGGAUGUGUAUUUUAAAUCUUGCCGUCCGUCCCGCAUGCUGUCUUAUGCUCGUACGAGGCUUCCAUCCAUCACACGAAAUGUUAGGAGCCUGACCCUCGUGUCUUCUCAUGAGGAUGUCAACAUCCCAAUGCUGCACUCCAAGUUUCCCCGUCUCAAGAAGUUGGAAAUUUACAUCAAAAGACCACAAGCUGUUCUGUCUUUGAUUUCCUUUCUUGAUGCUUCUCCGGCCUUGGAUUCAUUCAUCCUACGCGUAGAUGCGAAUGUCUUGAGGCCUGAUUCUGUUGUUGGAGGCGAGAAUGCCGCUGAUGAUCCAAGGUGGAAGCCACAGUGCCGACAUGAUUGUCUCAGACAGGUGACGGUCAUAGGGUUUUGUUCGGAAAAAAAUCUGGUUCAGUUUGUGAUCUAUAUCGUUGAGAACACUCCUCGGCUUGAGUCCAUCACACUAGACACAACCUUGUGGUCUGGUAGGAGGUGUGAUAUUAAUGGCAAAUCAAGAAAGAUGAAAAGGAGUUGCGAGAUGAUGACCGAGGGUUGUAUCGCCGAGGCUCACAGAGCUGUUAAGGUUGCCAACAGAUACAUUGCAGGGAGAGUUCCCUCGGGUGUUAAGUUCCAGGUCCUGGAGCCGUGUAGCCAGUGCAACGCGCGUACUCACAGCGGGUGGGAUGUCAACAUACCAAUGCUGCACUCCAAGUUUCCCCGUCUCAAGAAGUUGGAAAUUAACAUCAAAAGACCACAAGCUGUUCUGUCUUUGGUUUCAUUUCUUGAUGCUUCUCCGGCCUUGGAUUCAUUCAUCCUACGCGUAGAUGCGAAUGUCUUGAGGCCUGAUUCUGUUGUUGGAGGCGAGAAUGCCACUGAUGAUCCAAGGUGGAAGCCACAGUUCCGAAAUGAUUCUCUCAGUCAGGCGAGGAUCAUAGGGUUUUGUUCGGAAAAAAACCUGGUUCAGUUUGUGAUACAUAUCGUUGAGAACACUCCUCGGCUUGAGUCCAUCACACUAGACACAACUUUGUGGUCUGGUAGGUGUGAUAUUAAUGACAAAUCAAGAAAGAUGAAAAGGAGGUGCGCGAUGAUGACUGAGGGUUGUAUCGCCGAGGCUAACAGAGCUGUUAAGGUUGCCAACAGAUACAUUGCGGGGAGAGUUCCCUCGGGUGUUAGGUUCCAGGUCCUGGAGCCGUGUAGCCAGUGCCACGCGCAUACUCGCAGCGGGUGGAUGAAGUUUGGACAUGAAGAAGCAACUUAG
This 2409-nucleotide ribosomal RNA is filed under the name Triticum aestivum (bread wheat). RNAcentral's name for it is "partial small subunit ribosomal RNA". Lineage: Eukaryota; Viridiplantae; Streptophyta; Magnoliopsida; Poales; Poaceae. The record is from RNAcentral.